This 460-nucleotide ribosomal RNA is filed under the name uncultured bacterium. Its description in RNAcentral is "partial 16S ribosomal RNA". It matches the Rfam family "Bacterial small subunit ribosomal RNA", at positions 338 to 795 of the family's 1533-position model. The record is from RNAcentral.
CCUACGGGAGGCAGCAGUGAGGAAUAUUGGUCAAUGGGCGGGAGCCUGAACCAGCCAAGUCGCGUGAAGGAAGACGGUCCUACGGAUUGUAAACCUCUUUUGCCGGGGAGCAACGGGGUCCUUGCGAGGGCCCAAUGAGGGUACCCGGGAAAAAGGCAUCGCCUACCUCCGUGCCAGCAGCCGCGGUAAUACGGGGGUUGCGAGCUUUAUCGGGUUUUAUUGGGUUAAAAGGGGGCGUGGGCGGUCGGUUAGGUCAGCGGUAAAAUGUCGGGGCUCAACCCCGGACUGCCGUUGAAACUGGCGGCCUAGAGUGGGGGAGAGGUAUGCGGAAUGCGUGGUGUAGCGGUGAAAUGCAUAGAUAUCACGCAGAACUCCGAUUGCGAAGGCAGCAUACCGGCGCCCUACUGACGCUGAGGCACGAAAGCGUGGGUAUCGAACAGGAUUAGAUACCCCUGUAGUC